RNAcentral lists this ribosomal RNA (269 nucleotides) under uncultured bacterium. RNAcentral describes it as "partial 16S ribosomal RNA". It matches the Rfam family "Bacterial small subunit ribosomal RNA", at positions 524 to 791 of the family's 1533-position model. The record is from RNAcentral.
UACGAAGGGGGCUAGCGUUGCUCGGAAUCACUGGGCGUAAAGGGUGCGUAGGCGGGUCUUUAAGUCAGGGGUGAAAUCCUGGAGCUCAACUCCAGAACUGCCCUUGAUACUGAGGAUCUUGAGUUCGGGAGAGGUGAGUGGAACUGCGAGUGUAGAGGUGAAAAUUCGUAGAUAUUCGCAAGAACACCAGUGGCGAAGGCGGCUCACUGGCCCGAUACUGACGCUGAGGCACGAAAGCGUGGGGAGCAACAGGGAUAAGAUACCCCUGU